This 118-nucleotide ribosomal RNA is filed under the name Saprospiraceae bacterium. Lineage: Bacteria; Pseudomonadati; Bacteroidota; Saprospiria; Saprospirales; Saprospiraceae. The record is from RNAcentral.
ACUGGUGAUUCUAGCGGUGGGGAUACACCUCUUCCCUUUCCGAACAGAGUAGUUAAGCCCGCCAGCGCUGAUGGUACUGCACCUACGGAUGGUGUGGGAGAGUAAGUCAUCACCAGUU